Molecule: ribosomal RNA, 222 nt
Filed under: Clostridioides difficile
Lineage: Bacteria; Bacillati; Bacillota; Clostridia; Peptostreptococcales; Peptostreptococcaceae
Description: partial 23S ribosomal RNA
Rfam family: Bacterial large subunit ribosomal RNA
Source: RNAcentral
AUUGCAAGACAUACAGGGCGAGCAAGGAUGAAAAUCGGACUUAGUGAUCCGGUGGUUCUGCGUGGAAGGGCCAUCGCUCAACGGAUAAAAGCUACCCGGGGGAUAACAGGCUUAUCUCCCCCAAGAGGCCACAUCGACGGGGAGGUUUGGCACCUCGAUGUCGGCUCAUCACAUCCUGGGGCUGUAGUAGGUCCCAAGGGUUGGGCUGUUCGCCCAUUAAAG